GUCUCAUUGGCUCAGCUGGUUAGAGCACAGGUCUCAUAUCUUCGAUGUGGGUGGUCUAGGACCACGUAAACCUGGGAUCGCAAGUUCGAGCCUUGCAUGGGACA
Molecule: transfer RNA, 104 nt
Organism: Hypholoma sublateritium FD-334 SS-4
Lineage: Eukaryota; Fungi; Basidiomycota; Agaricomycetes; Agaricales; Strophariaceae
Rfam family: tRNA
About the family: Transfer RNA (tRNA) molecules are approximately 80 nucleotides in length. Their secondary structure includes four short double-helical elements and three loops (D, anti-codon, and T loops).
Source: Rfam